Molecule: non-coding RNA, 110 nt
Organism: Aspergillus steynii IBT 23096
Lineage: Eukaryota; Fungi; Ascomycota; Eurotiomycetes; Eurotiales; Aspergillaceae
Source: the annotation of a RefSeq genome assembly
GACAGUUUGGCCGAGUGGUUAAGGCGCGGGACUGCUAUAUAGUACUGAUCUGAUCAGUCGAUUGUAAUCCCGUCCAUUCGUGGGCAUGAGUUCGAAUCUCAUAGCUGUCG